AACGCCCAAAAAUAUCUUAGCGGCUAAAAUACUCCGUGCUCGGCGGUUCUUUCUCUAACCCUAGCGGCCUCAUUCUUUUCGCCUCGUUCUGAUCUCUUGGUAAAUUAUCUUUUCUGUGGGCAUGCGUCGUUGUUGGUCUGUGGGCAUACAUUUUGUGAUUUGAGGAACUACCAAUCUCUUCCCCUAGACGCCAAUCUCUCGCCUUUCUUUCUUUGCCAUGCAAGAUUUAGGGUUUUGAAGGUUGUCGACUGCUCCACCGCAACGGAAAUAGUGGAAAGGAGGGUUCUUUCGGAGUGGGAGUUGCCGAUUUGUGAGUGACUAUUUCCGGAUUCGGUCUUACAGGUGGAAAAGGGCAACUUUUUUUUCGCUUCUUUGAGCUUCCCGAAUUCGAUUGCCGAUUCUUGGUGGUGGUGUGGCUUUUCCGAGUGCGAUGGUGGAAAGCAACGCGGUGAACGCCUGUGAGUCAAAGUUUUUAUCCCCAUUUGCCUGAUGGGUUUUUCAACCAGUUCGUGCAUUCCAAAGAGAAUAAAACUUGUUGGUCUCUGAUUCGCUCAAAAGAAGUCACAGAAAAGUUUGAUAUUUUCACAGUCCAAACAAGAAUUUUGAAUCCUUGAUGCAAUAACUACAAUCAACAAAGAGUAAACACUUCAGACUCAGAGGAAGAAAUCAAACUAAGGAUCAGCAUUCUGAAUCUGGUAGGAAGUGUCAUAUAUCAGCAGCUAAAUUGAUGGAAAUUGAAAUAACAUUUGUCAAUUUUCUUUUCCUUUAUUACUUGAGGAGUUUAGUUUGUCUAUGACACACCAUAUUCUCUUUGAUAGUUUUUCUUGCUGAAAAUUUAUCAACUUACAUUUAAUUAUUAUUAUUUUUACAA
Molecule: long non-coding RNA, 871 nt
Organism: Zingiber officinale
Lineage: Eukaryota; Viridiplantae; Streptophyta; Magnoliopsida; Zingiberales; Zingiberaceae
Exons: 2
Source: RefSeq, a predicted model, not a curated record